CCUUGGUUUGGUGCGAUCGCGUGAGACGCGUCAGGUGCUUGAUUUCCCUGAGUCCCGGUGCCUCAGCUGCCCAGUGCCCACGUUCGUAAGAAGGCAACAAGUUCUUCUCCUCUACAGAAGGAUUUUGCAAACAAUUCGGCAAGUUCCAAAUGAUUCUGAUCGCAAAUACCUGAAAGAUUGGGCAAGAGAAGAAUUCAAAAGAAACAAAAGUGCCACCGAAGAGGAUACAAUCCGGAUGAUGAUUACUCAAGGCAAUAUGCAGCUCAAGGAGUUAGAAAAAACACUUGCUUUAGCAAAAUCUUAACUAUAGCAUUAUUCUGAAGGAUUUUCAAAGUCUCCAUGUGUUUUGUUGCAUUUAGGAUUAACAAUGGACAGCACAAAGCCCAGUCUUACUAUUUAUAUGUACAGUAUUUGGUGAUAGAGAGCAAAGGAAAAACACAUCAGAACAGUUGCCUUAACUGAAAAACAUACCCUGCAUUUUGAAAAUGUUUAUGGAUGUCUCAGCAGUUUUUAAAAGAAGAAAAAAACCACUAACAAAUGGUCAGUAGAUGCUGGACACAAUCAUUAGGGAAGUGUAAAUCAAAACUACUAUGAGGCCGGGCGCAGUGGCUCAUGCUUGUAAUCCCAGUACUUUAGGAGGCUGAGGUAGGUGGAUUACUUGAGGUCAGGAGUUCAAGACCAGCCUGGACAACAUGGUGAAACCUCAUCUCUACUAAAA
RNAcentral lists this small RNA (718 nucleotides) under Pongo abelii (Sumatran orangutan). RNAcentral's name for it is "processed transcript". The record is from RNAcentral. Lineage: Eukaryota; Metazoa; Chordata; Mammalia; Primates; Hominidae.